UUAGCAGACUUAUCUUAUCGUCUCAAACUAGUUUUGAGAAGGAAAGUCCGGACACCAAAGAGUAAGCAUAGCGGAUAACAUCCGUCCAACGUAAGUUGAGGACAAGUGCAACAGAAAGUACGUACAGUUAGGCUGUAGUGAAACCAGGUAAACUCUAUGCGGUGCAAUGCCAUGUAUAUUAGAGCUUGAGAGCUACUCGCUCGAUUCUAAAGGGUAGGCAGAUUGACCUUAAAAGUAAUUUUAAGGCUAGAUAAAUGAUAAGAACCUUUUUAAGGAUACAGAAUUCGGCUUAUUAGUCUGCUUUUUUA
Molecule: RNase P RNA, 308 nt
Filed under: Polaribacter sp. WD7
Lineage: Bacteria; Pseudomonadati; Bacteroidota; Flavobacteriia; Flavobacteriales; Flavobacteriaceae
Description: Bacterial RNase P class A
Rfam family: Bacterial RNase P class A
About the family: Ribonuclease P (RNase P) is a ubiquitous endoribonuclease, found in archaea, bacteria and eukarya as well as chloroplasts and mitochondria. Its best characterised activity is the generation of mature 5'-ends of tRNAs by cleaving the 5'-leader elements of precursor-tRNAs. Cellular RNase Ps are ribonucleoproteins.
Source: Rfam by way of RNAcentral